This is a long non-coding RNA of Lolium rigidum, 4621 nucleotides long. RefSeq lists it as uncharacterized. Lineage: Eukaryota; Viridiplantae; Streptophyta; Magnoliopsida; Poales; Poaceae. The record is from RefSeq and is a predicted model, not a curated record. The transcript is spliced from 8 exons.
CAGGGCCAUGGGUGUCGAAAACCCUAGCCGCCACAAGCCAAUCCCUUGCUAGCUUUCUCCCACAAUCCCCACGCAUGGCUCUCCCUAAUCCCCUUCCCUUGACUUCUCCUCUCCCACCAUGGCCACCAAAGAGGAGCGGCUAGAGGAUGGUCGGAGGCACUGCUUGUGCACAUAAGGAGGAGCACGAGGCGCAGCUACCGGUGAGGGCAUAGAGGAAGAGGAUGAGGUGAGGGGAGGAGUGGUGAAGAGAUGCUUGACGGAGGCAGAAGAGAGACCGCCUGCGGUGAGCUGCAUCUCCAAUCGACCUCCGUCGUCCAUCCCUGGAUUUACUUUGGGUCGUGCGGCGGCCGGCGGCCGGCCGGGAGGCCCGGGCUCUGCCUUGCCGCUCCACCCGACCCCUUAUCUGUGGCAGAUGGAGGGCUUCAACGGCGCUGGUUUGAGCUCUCUCUCUCUCCGGCUAAAUGUCAAGGUGGAUCUUGUGGUGAACAUGGUGGAGCUUGGCAGCCUGACUGCCAACGACCUGCUUGUCCGUGCUAGAGAGUAUGUGCAGCAGCUUGCAGAGGCAUAGAUGCCUUUGAUCUCAUCAUACAAAGAUGUGGAUAGGGAGAGGUGUGGUGCAUCUGAUGGUCGGAAAGGCCUAUUGCCACGGACUUGCAUCGAAGUUUUGUAGGAUUGUCUAAAACUAUUGAUCUACUGUCAUUGUUUGUUACCUGCAUCUGUUCGUUUUGCUAAAGAUUUAUGCUUGCUGUAGCUUUUGGCUCACAAGCCUCACAGGUUAGUGUCUUCUUCAUUUCUUCGUCUGAUAUUGUGUUCAAAGUGGCUUCAUAUAUUUCUUGAGAGUGGUGUCUUCAUUUCUUCGUCUGAUAUUGUGCUCAAAGUGGCUUCAUAUAUUUCUUGAGAGUAGUCAUCCUGAAGUUGAUUUACAUUUCCCGCAAGUAGCUCUGUUAUAUACACAUAAAUUUCAUAUGAGUUGAUAUAAAAUCUUUAUAUCUCAUUUGAUCUUUAUAAAAGCUCAUAAUGAAAUCUUGAAUUCAGCAUUCUUUAAAUAUAUGAGAUUGAGGUUAUAAAGGUUGAGCCAUAGAUAGAGAAACUAAUCCAAUUAUUGUUGAUGCCUCAGUUUCAGGUUUCUAAGAGUAUCGCCGUAGAUUAUGAGAGAUGGAUUCCUAAUAGCUUCUUUUUGAUUUACUAAAGGCAUGAACCACAUAUAAAGUUCAGAGAAAAUUUAAAGCUCAUUUGGAACGACUGAAAAUGUUUAAAGUUCAUUCAUACAUUUAUUUUCUCUUCAUAGUCCAUUAACAGGCUAACGGCCUUCGAUUUAUCUCGCUCCUGUUGCGGAAAUUAAUCGAGUAUGAAGCAAAUAGGAUGAUAUUUUUCUGUAGAGACCCCUGAUGUCUUCUUUCAUGUCCCGGACACUCCCAAGGAUAUUCAGGGUUCCCUAUAAAGAAUAUUAUUCGAUCUUAUGCUAAAAUCAUGGUCUUUCAAAGGCUGAGUACCAUCUUGAAUUAUUAGAAGAUAGCAAAGUUCGUGAGAAUUGCUCUUUAACGCAUCUACAUGUCGAUGUCUGGACCCAGUCCAAUGAUUUAUGAAAUAACAAAGAAAGUUGCUGACAAGCUUAAGGGCACAACAUUAUCUGCCAGUUGUUGUUUGGAUGAUUUGUUGCUGCUAGAGAGGGGGAUGGGAAGAGAAAGAAGAAAUGGUGAGGGAGGUUGAAAAGGAGCCAACAGAUGAACAUGGAUCUGCAAUAAUCAGAAACUACUUUGGUGGUGGAUGGAUGUUUGCAUCAGAUCUGAGGGUGCAAUGGUGGUCCUGAAGCAUUUCCAUGAGGUGUUUAGUGCAUAUAUGAAGAAUCAGGGGUACAAAUUGGGGACUUUCCAACAAUUAUGAAGAAGUGUGAUCUUAAACACCGACCAUGCGAUGAAAUCCGUAGAUGUUUCUGCAAGUUUUGCUUCAGCGAUGUUUGCCUCUUUGCCCCUUGCUUGAUUGGGCUACUUAACUGGGAAAUCGUCGGCUGCAUCUUACUUUCAGGUUUGACACUUUGGCGCUUGCUUGAUUCGGCUGCUCCUAGAAAAAGUUUCUGCAAGUUCUGUUUCGUUGAUGUUUGCCUCGAUGGGAAUGGAUCUACUUGUCGGGAUUAAUAAGCUUUGUGGAUGUAUUAGGUUGUGACUUGGUCUGGUCCUCGGUGUACUGAUUUAGCAAAUAGCUUGAAUCAGGCCAGUCACAAUACAGAUUGCUGCUCUUUUCCUUGACGGACAAAUUAGACUUAUCAUUUGCUGCUAUUGUUACAAAUCUUAUAGCUACAUGCAGGUAUGAGAACCAGGAUCAGAAGACUAUGGGAUGUAUUUUCCUUACUAAUGUUUGCCAGAGUUUCUCUGAAUAUGCAAUGUUCUGAUCCAGUUUCAUCCUAUUUUUGUAUGGUUAGCCACCCGCAAUAUUUUUGGCUUCUAUGAUGGUUCAGUUUUGUUCGUGCACCAGAUGAAGUUGCAAGUGUAAAAAGCCUUAUGUUGACAGUAGACAAUACCAUGUAGGAAUUCAUGCCAAUCUUAGGGUCCCUGUUUACUGUUAGUACCUCUUUCAUUUCUUCAGCAAUUUUUCUGUUCAGAGAGGCUUCAUAUGUUUGUUGAGUGGGAAUCCUUAAGUUGCUCUAGAAUUUCCAAAUAAAGUGGCUCUAAUUCAUAUCUACAUUUUUGUGUGAGUUCACAUUAAUAUUUGAAUCUCAUUUGGGUUUUCAAAUAGUAUUGCUUGAAAAUAUAUGUAUGGACAGAACAGUUAGAGCAACUCAUGGAAAUUUUAAACCUGAUCUUUUGAACCAAUGGUCGCUGCAUUCAAUUUAGUUCAUCUUCUGGUUGCAUCUCAGCAUCAGUUGUACUGCUAUGAUAGCACUUAGCACGAGCUGCUACCUGCUUGAGUUAACUUAUCAAAUUUAGUUCCUUUUUCAUUGCUCAUAUCCAGAUAUCUAAAACCCGAGCUCUCGAAUUGUGAGAGUUGGUUUCAUGACAACUUCUAUUUUAUUUACUGAACUCUGAAUCACAGAUCAUGAUAGAUGGUUCCCUAAUUUGUAUCUUAUUUUUUGAAAGUUUCUAGAGAAUAUUUACAGUGUAGUCAAACAAACAAAAUAUAUUUGAAGCUAAUUAAGAUUUCUUGAAACCUAACACACAGUUAAUUAUCUUGAUAAUAUACUUCGGUUCCGAAGUCCUAACUAUUCCUUCUCUGGGAAUAUUAGAAGGUCGAUGCGGAUCGGUAGUGAGAUCCAGGCUGCUCGAUUUUCUUCACGGACAUGGACAAUAUCCCUCUGGUAAUAUCAGGUCUUAUAGAACACCUCUAAUAUCAAUACGAGUGUUUUCUCCAUCACCCUAGCAAUUCGUACCCUUCCAUAAUAAUGGUUGUUGAUAAAAUGGUAAAACCUUUUGCAUGAUCAGGCUUAAUUUUAAGGAUUGAUACUCCAAUCAAUCUGGUUUAAUCUGGAUCUUAAAACAUUACCUUUUCAUUGAAUGCUCUUUAAGGCACUUAAAAUAAAUUUGUGUCCUCAUCCUCAUCCAAAAGAAAAUCUGAGCCUGAUAGAAAGGCAUUGACCAACAUAACCAGUUUAAGAUGCUCGGCCUAAAAUGCAUCUAUCAUGCAAACAAUAAUAAUCUAUUUUCGUUUUUAUGAGUGACAUAGAGCAUGGCUCAUGUGCCUUCAACUUUGCACCCCCUUGUGAUGUUUGACUUUGCUGCUCCUUUCCUCCAUGAAUCUAUGCAUGCUAAUUAUCUUUUAUCAACAUUUGUUAUUUUUAAUAUUCUGUAUCUUCCUUGCAUACAUUGUUGCAUCAUCGAUCAGUAUAUGAUAAUAGAUAUAAUUGUUCAAGAUUAUUUGUGUCAACUCUGCAGUGAGAUAUACCGUAUGAUUUAACUUUUAGUUGGACAAGAAGAGAUAGGAGGCAUGUCUAUGGGUGAAUUCCGAAGUACAUGCAUCUGGUGAGCCUGAUGGUAUGGAUGUAUAAGGAAGGGCUUUUUCGUAAAGGUCAUUGUUGUUAUGCUUUUCCAUUCUCAUGGACUAUGGUCACUUAUCACACAUUGAUUCCUAUGAUUAGCUCACAGAGAACUUUCUUUAGUUAGUCAUGUGUUUCGAGCUAAAGCUGCGACUUUAUUUAUCGGUUUAGGUGCCUUCGUAAUCCGUCCAUAUAUUUUUUCUUACAAUUUCAUAUAAAUGAACAUCUAUUUUCUAAUUUCAAAAUCCAUGCUCAAUGCACGCAACAUCAGUUGACAUGAUGAACGUUUGUAGUUCAACAUUAGGACUGAAAGCUAUGAAAGGCUACUUCAUUUGUUAAUCUGUUACGGCCAUUGCUUAGGCUCUUAUCCCAAUGAAUUUGAAUCAUUCUUUAUUAUCCUGUUGAUAUGGUGUUGUCUGAUAUAUAUAAUUUUUUGUUGUUCUUUUGUAUUUCUUCAGAAAAUAUGCAUUUAUAUUUGAAUUUGUGCAAUGUCCCUAAUCUCUUGAAGGUGUUAUAGUGGGCAUUCGGGUGAGCAUUGUGCAACUUAUCUGAAACUUAAGAUUGCUUCUGCAGUUAAUCUCCAUUAGGAGUGCCAGACGGGUUGACCUCCCGUUGACAAGGCUGUGUGUGUGCGCUCGAUCCGCGGUCUCUCUC